CAGCCGCCACGGGAAUACAGAGGGUGCGAGCGUUAAUCGGAUUUACUGGGCGUAAAGCGUGCGUAGGCGGCUUUUUAAGUCGGAUGUGAAAUCCCUGAGCUUAACUUAGGAAUUGCAUUCGAUACUGGGAAGCUAGAGUAUGGGAGAGGAUGGUAGAAUUCCAGGUGUAGCGGUGAAAUGCGUAGAGAUCUGGAGGAAUACCGAUGGCGAAGGCAGCCAUCUGGCCUAAUACUGACGCUGAGGUACGAAAGCAUGGGGAGCAAACAGGAUUAGAUACCCCAGUAGUCCAUGUCUCUUAUAC
This 301-nucleotide ribosomal RNA is filed under the name uncultured bacterium. RNAcentral describes it as "partial 16S ribosomal RNA". It matches the Rfam family "Bacterial small subunit ribosomal RNA", at positions 509 to 807 of the family's 1533-position model. The record is from RNAcentral.